Lasiosphaeria ovina is the source of this 117-nucleotide non-coding RNA. The record is from the annotation of a GenBank genome assembly. NCBI's taxonomy places the organism in Eukaryota, Fungi, Ascomycota, Sordariomycetes, Sordariales, Lasiosphaeriaceae.
GGCUGGAUGGUGGAGUGGUCUAACACGCUAGUCUCAAGAAUCAUAUCUUGACCCCGAAAAGGGGAUGCAUGCAUACUAGUCUCGCAAGAGGCGUGGGUUCGAAUCCCACUCCAGUCA